RNAcentral lists this transfer RNA (73 nucleotides) under Mustela putorius furo (domestic ferret). It matches the Rfam family "tRNA". From Rfam's summary of the family: Transfer RNA (tRNA) molecules are approximately 80 nucleotides in length. Lineage: Eukaryota; Metazoa; Chordata; Mammalia; Carnivora; Mustelidae. The record is from Rfam by way of RNAcentral.
GCCUGACUGGCUUAGUUGGUCAAGCAUGUGACUCUCGAUCUCCGGGUUGUGAGUUCGAGUCCCACACUGGGCG